UUAAGCGACUAAGCGUACACGGUGGAUGCCCUGGCAGUCAGAGGCGAUGAAGGGCGUGCUAAUCUGCGAUAAGCGCCGGUAAGGUGAUAUGAACCGUUAUAACCGGCGAUACCCGAAUGGGGAAACCCAGUGUGAUUCGUCACACUAUCAUUAACUGAAUCCAUAGGUUAAUGAGGCGAACCGGGGGAACUGAAACAUCUAAGUACCCCGAGGAAAAGAAAUCAACCGAGAUUCCCCCAGUAGCGGCGAGCGAACGGGGAGGAGCCCAGAGCCUGAAUCAGCAUGUGUGUUAGUGGAAGCGUCUGGAAAGGCGCGCGAUACAGGGUGACAGCCCCGUACACAAAAGCGCAUGUGCUGUGAGCUCGAUGAGUAGGGCGGGACACGUGGUAUCCUGUCUGAAUAUGGGGGGACCAUCCUCCAAGGCUAAAUACUCCUGACUGACCGAUAGUGAACCAGUACCGUGAGGGAAAGGCGAAAAGAACCCCGGCGAGGGGAGUGAAAAAGAACCUGAAACCGUGUACGUACAAGCAGUGGGAGCCCCACCACUAAGCCAGUGGUGAACUCCACAUACGCAUCCUUUGCUGAGGAUACGGUUAACGGAGCGAAAGCGACGUUCAACCUCAAAAGAAGCAGAGGGGGCUUAGUGGUGGGGUGACUGCGUACCUUUUGUAUAAUGGGUCAGCGACUUAUAUUCUGUAGCAAGGUUAACCGAAUAGGGGAGCCGGAGGNGUGACUGCGUACCUUUUGUAUAAUGGGUCAGCGACUUAUAUUCUGUAGCAAGGUUAACCGUAUAGGGGAGCCGGAGGGAAACCGAGUCUUAACCGGGCGUUAAGUUGCAGGGUAUAGACCCGAAACCCGGUGAUCUAGCCAUGGGCAGGUUGAAGGUUGGGUAACACUAACUGGAGGACCGAACCGACUAAUGUUGAAAAAUUAGCGGAUGACCUGUGGCUGGGGGUGAAAGGCCAAUCAAACCGGGAGAUAGCUGGUUCUCCCCGAAAGCUAUUUAGGUAGCGCCUCGUGAAUUCAUCUCCGGGGGUAGAGCACUGUUUCGGCUAGGGGGCCAUCCCGGCUUACCAACCCGAUGCAAACUGCGAAUACCGGAGAAUGUUAUUACGGGAGACACACGGCGGGUGCUAACGUCCGUCGUGAAGAGGGAAACAACCCAGACCGCCAGCUAAGGUCCCAAAGUCAUGGUUAAGUGGGAAACGAUGUGGGAAGGCCCAGACAGCCAGGAUGUUGGCUUAGAAGCAGCCAUCAUUUAAAGAAAGCGUAAUAGCUCACUGGUCGAGUCGGCCUGCGCGGAAGAUGUAACGGGGCUAAACCAUGCACCGAAGCUGCGGCAGCGAGUAAUAGCUCACUGGUCGAGUCGGCCUGCGCGGAAGAUGUAACGGGGCUAAACCAUGCACCGAAGCUGCGGCAGCGAACGUAUCACUUAAAGCGAUUCAGCGGGUUACGAUUGACGGAGCGAAGCGACGUCAAAGCGUAUACAAAGUCGAGUCGGUUUAAGGAUACGUUCGUUGGGUAGGGGAGCGUUCUGUAAGCCUGUGAAGGUGGCCUGUGAGGGUUGCUGGAGGUAUCAGAAGUGCGAAUGCUNGUUGGGUAGGGGAGCGUUCUGUAAGCCUGUGAAGGUGGCCUGUGAGGGUUGCUGGAGGUAUCAGAAGUGCGAAUGCUGACAUAAGUAACGAUAAAGCGGGUGAAAAGCCCGCUCGCCGGAAGACCAAGGGUUCCUGUCCAACGUUAAUCGGGGCAGGGUGAGUCGACCCCUAAGGCGAGGCCGAAAGGCGUAGUCGAUGGGAAACGGGUUAAUAUUCCCGUACUUGGUGUUACUGCGAAGGGGGGACGGAGAAGGCUAUGUUGGCCGGGCGACGGUUGUCCCGGUUUAAGCGUGUAGGUGUGUGUUCCAGGUAAAUCCGGUUCACUUUAACACUGAGGCGUGACGACGAGGCACUACGGUGCUGAAGCAACAAAUGCCCUGCUUCCAGGAAAAGCCUCUAAGCAUCAGGUAACAUCAAAUCGUACCCCAAACCGACACAGGUGGUCAGGUAGAGAAUACCAAGGCGCUUGAGAGAACUCGGGUGAAGGAACUAGGCAAAAUGGUGCCGUAACUUCGGGAGAAGGCACGCUGACAUGUAGGUGAAGUGAUUUACUCAUGGAGCUGAAGUCAGUCGAAGAUACCAGCUGGCUGCAACUGUUUAUUAAAAACACAGCACUGUGCAAACACGAAAGUGGACGUAUACGGUGUGACGCCUGCCCGGUGCCGGAAGGUUAAUUGAUGGGGUCAGCGCAAGCGAAGCUCCUGAUCGAAGCCCCGGUAAACGGCGGCCGUAACUAUAACGGUCCUAAGGUAGCGAAAUUCCUUGUCGGGUAAGUUCCGACCUGCACGAAUGGCGUAAUGAUGGCCAGGCUGUCUCCACCCGAGACUCAGUGAAAUUGAACUCGCUGUGAAGAUGCAGUGUACCCGCGGCAAGACGGAAAGACCCCGUGAACCUUUACUAUAGCUUGACACUGAACAUUGAGCCUUGAUGUGUAGGAUAGGUGGGAGGCUUUGAAGUGUGGACGCCAGUCUGCAUGGAGCCGACCUUGAAAUACCACCCUUUAAUGUUUGAUGUUCUAACGUGGACCCGUAAUCCGGGUUGCGGACAGUGUCUGGUGGGUAGUUUGACUGGGGCGGUCUCCUCCUAAAGAGUAACGGAGGAGCACGAAGGUUGGCUAAUCCUGGUCGGACAUCAGGAGGUUAGUGCAAUGGCAUAAGCCAGCUUGACUGCGAGCGUGACGGCGCGAGCAGGUGCGAAAGCAGGUCAUAGUGAUCCGGUGGUUCUGAAUGGAAGGGCCAUCGCUCAACGGAUAAAAGGUACUCCGGGGAUAACAGGCUGAUACCGCCCAAGAGUUCAUAUCGACGGCGGUGUUUGGCACCUCGAUGUCGGCUCAUCACAUCCUGGGGCUGAAGUAGGUCCCAAGGGUAUGGCUGUUCGCCAUUUAAAGUGGUACGCGAGCUGGGUUUAGAACGUCGUGAGACAGUUCGGUCCCUAUCUGCCGUGGGCGCUGGAGAACUGAGGGGGGCUGCUCCUAGUACGAGAGGACCGGAGUGGACGCAUCACUGGUGUUCGGGUUGUCAUGCCAAUGGCACUGCCCGGUAGCUAAAUGCGGAAGAGAUAAGUGCUGAAAGCAUCUAAGCACGAAACUUGCCCCGAGAUGAGUUCUCCCUGAGACUUAGAGUCUCCUGAAGGAACGUUGAAGACGACGACGUUGAUAGGCCGGGUGUGUAAGCGCAGCGAUGCGUUGAGCUAACCGGUACUAAUGAACCGUGAGGCUUAACCUU
This 3319-nucleotide ribosomal RNA is filed under the name Salmonella enterica subsp. enterica serovar Derby. RNAcentral's name for it is "bacterial LSU rRNA". It matches the Rfam family "Bacterial large subunit ribosomal RNA". The record is from RNAcentral. Lineage: Bacteria; Pseudomonadati; Pseudomonadota; Gammaproteobacteria; Enterobacterales; Enterobacteriaceae.